RNAcentral lists this long non-coding RNA (554 nucleotides) under Mus musculus (house mouse). Its description in RNAcentral is "long non-coding RNA chr13:81672305-81672859". Lineage: Eukaryota; Metazoa; Chordata; Mammalia; Rodentia; Muridae. The record is from RNAcentral.
GUAUAGAUUAAGAAGGAGUAUGUAAUCUAAAGUUUCCUUUUCUGGUGGAUUUUCAUUGUUAAAGCUUUUUUUUUUUGACUCUGCUUUUUGGUGGUAUGAGACGUUCAUUAAAUGAACCACUCUUUAGUAACUGAUUGUUAGUCUUUAGUAAAAAAAAAAUCUUCUGACAUUACCUCACUGCAGUGCGAAGGCUAUAGCUAGAAACAGAAGUGGAGAUCUAGACUCAGAGUAUUGCAGAGUUAAGUUAUUUAAAUACUGCAUUAUCAUGGGACUAUUUCUUAUUUUGAUUUACAGCACUGUUGCUCAGGAAAUCAGUAUUUUUUUUCUACGUAUGUGCAUAUUGCACUUAGAUCAUAGAAAUAUAUGAAUGCUUUAUUUAAUUCACUUGAUGUAUGUAAAAAUCUAGGCAUCUUUUGUAUAAUGUAUUUUAUAUAAUUGGAAAUGUAUUAAACCAUUGUUAGCAUGCACAUCUGUAAAACUGUUUUUAAACUUUUGGCCUUGUUUUUCAUAUUUUUAAGGAUAUGCAAAGUAUAAUAAAAUUUCUAUUUUAUUAA